UGCAAGUCGAGCGCGCCCUUCGGGGUGAGCGGCGGACGGGUUAGUAACGCGUGGGAACGUACCCUUUGGUAGGGAAUAGCCACUGGAAACGGUGAGUAAUACCCUAUGAGCCCUUCGGGGGAAAGAUUUAUCGCCAAAGGAUCGGCCCGCGUUAGAUUAGGUAGUUGGUGGGGUAAUGGCCUACCAAGCCUACGAUCUAUAGCUGGUUUUAGAGGAUGAUCAGCAACACUGGGACUGAGACACGGCCCAGACUCCUACGGGAGGCAGCAGUGGGGAAUCUUGGACAAUGGGGGCAACCCUGAUCCAGCCAUGCCGCGUGAGUGAAGAAGGCCUUAGGGUCGUAAAGCUCUUUCGCCUGUGAAGAUAAUGACGGUAGCAGGUAAAGAAACCCCGGCUAACUCCGUGCCAGCAGCCGCGGUAAUACGGAGGGGGUUAGCGUUGUUCGGAAUUACUGGGACGUAAAG
Molecule: ribosomal RNA, 464 nt
Filed under: alpha proteobacterium MPCa6SU_Cu03
Lineage: Bacteria; Pseudomonadati; Pseudomonadota; Alphaproteobacteria
Description: bacterial SSU rRNA
Rfam family: Bacterial small subunit ribosomal RNA
Source: RNAcentral